GUAGGUGGCAAGCGUUGUCCGGAAUUAUUGGGCGUAAAGCGCGCGCAGGCGGUUCUUUAAGUCUGAUGUGAAAGCCCACGGCUCAACCGUGGAGGGUCAUUGGAAACUGGAGAACUCGAGUACAGAAGAGGAAAGCGGAAUUCCACGUGUAGCGGUGAAAUGCGUAGAGAUGUGGAGGAACACCAGUGGCGAAGGCGGCUUUCUGGUCUGUAACUGACGCUGAGGCGCGAAAGCGUGGGGAGCAAACAGGAUUAGAUACCCUGGUAGUCCACGCCGUAAACGAUGAGUGCUAAGUGUUAGGGGGGUUUCCGCCCCCCUUAGUGCUGCAGCUAACGCAUUAAGCACUCCGCCUGGGAGUACGGCCGCAAGGCUG
RNAcentral lists this ribosomal RNA (373 nucleotides) under uncultured organism. RNAcentral's name for it is "partial 16S ribosomal RNA". It matches the Rfam family "Bacterial small subunit ribosomal RNA", at positions 527 to 896 of the family's 1533-position model. The record is from RNAcentral.